UAUAGACUUUUUCCAUUGCUGGUCUCGUUGCAGGUGAAAUAUUUAGAUGGGGAUGUAGAAGAGCUUAAUCUCAAAGUGGAACGUUUUGAGAUAAUCCAGGAUAUUGAUGAGGAGUCUACUCCUUUAAUUAAAAUUAUACAAAGGCAGAAAGCCAAGAA
Molecule: non-coding RNA, 158 nt
Organism: Camelina sativa (false flax)
Lineage: Eukaryota; Viridiplantae; Streptophyta; Magnoliopsida; Brassicales; Brassicaceae
Source: RefSeq, a predicted model, not a curated record